This 367-nucleotide ribosomal RNA is filed under the name uncultured organism. Its description in RNAcentral is "bacterial LSU rRNA". It matches the Rfam family "Bacterial large subunit ribosomal RNA", at positions 2190 to 2465 of the family's 2925-position model. The record is from RNAcentral.
CGUUGAGAUACCACCCUUGUAUACGUAUGCCUCUAACUCAGCAUCAUGUUCAUAAUAUGAUGCUUGGCUAAUUUGAAAUUAAAAUAGCAACAAACCUAUUUUACUGUCACUACACAGUCCUGAAUCCUAUCAUUAUUGAUAUGAUGCUGGGGACCGUGCUUGGUGGGGAGUUUAACUGGGGCGGUUGCCUCCUAAAACGUAACGGAGGCGCACAAAGGUAGGCUAGGUCCGGAUGGAAAUCGGACUGAUAGUGUAUUCGCACAAGCCUGCUUGACUGAGAGACCUACAAGUCGAUCAGAGACGAAAGUCGGUGAAAGUGAUCCGGCACCAACAUGUGGGAGUGGUGUCGCUCAACGGAUAAAAGUUA